This is a long non-coding RNA of Scaptodrosophila lebanonensis, 411 nucleotides long. RefSeq lists it as uncharacterized. The transcript has 2 exons. The record is from RefSeq and is a predicted model, not a curated record. NCBI's taxonomy places the organism in Eukaryota, Metazoa, Arthropoda, Insecta, Diptera, Drosophilidae.
GUCCAUAGGCGGUUUGUCUGGAACUUUGUGGGAGUGCUGAUAAUUGCAAUACCUGAUGGACCAAAUUCCAUUCUGUCGCAUGCAACACCCUGGAAACGAAUGCUGUCCUCCAAAUGCAUAUAUCCUGGAGGCGAUGAGGAAUCCUGUAUGCUGGUGAGAUUUUUCUACAAUAUUAUCGCCGACAUAUGCGAGCCAAUGAUGACAUGCAACAAGGACGCGUAUAUGGGACUCCACAGUUGCAUGCGUCAUUGCGGGAAUGGAUAGGGAAGAGACCCCGAGCCAGCAAAAACUGAGAGACGCCUAUAGCUUUGUCAUUAUACUUGUAUAUCGAAAAGUUCUUAUUACUGUUGCUGUUACUUUAUUUAAUGCGCUGGAGGCCGCUAAUAAAACUAACAUAUGUACGACAAGGGA